GCGGGCGUAGCUCAGUUGGUAGAGCGUCAGCUUCCCAAGCUGAGGGUCGCGGGUUCGAAUCCCGUCGCCCGCUCAA
Molecule: transfer RNA, 76 nt
Filed under: Ignavibacteria bacterium
Lineage: Bacteria; Pseudomonadati; Ignavibacteriota; Ignavibacteria
Description: tRNA-Gly
Rfam family: tRNA
About the family: Transfer RNA (tRNA) molecules are approximately 80 nucleotides in length. Their secondary structure includes four short double-helical elements and three loops (D, anti-codon, and T loops).
Source: RNAcentral